UGACAUUGAAUCGUUGUUUGGAACGUGGUUAGCUGGGGUUGAGCAUAUUACUGCGGCUCGUAUUCGGAUUGGAAUAUGUGCGCUUAUAUGGGCUAUAUAGAAUUGCGGGAAUGGUAUGAUUUUUAACAGACAACACACUUUAACUUUCUUGCAGGUCCUCUUCAGAGCUACCGCAUGGAUCCGUACGUGGUCCUUACUCACUCCUAUGGACUCCAGGGGGCCUUUGGUUACUGGGUGCAACCAGUGGGAGAUGGUAGCACGGGCUAUAUUCAACCGGUUCGGAUGGCAGUCACAUAACAGGAUAGGAGUCUAGGGAGCUUAUCUUUUACACUGUCAUACCGGUUGUGAUUUUGAGCAUGUACUUUUCUUUUCUUUUCUUUUUUCGCUUCACUUGCAAGCUGUAAUACUUUUAUGACUUUGUGCUACUUCAAGAUUCUUUAAUAAGAUGGCUGCAUGUAUUAUUAUGAUGCAGAGGCCGGGGAUACGCCUCCAUUUCCAAAAAAAAUGUCUUUUAAAUUGCAAUCUUUUAAAACUUAAUAUUUUUAAAAUAUGCAAAUUUAUUUGAUUUAAUGAACUUAUUCAAAUAAAAAAAUGAUAGCUAACUUUUUCUAAUCAAGCAGUGGAGCGAGCAAAAUGAGUGAACCUAUAUUCUAAAAUAUAUCUAUAUACAUCAAUAUGUAGUUCGUAUUUGAAUUUCUAAAAAAUACUUAUAUUUAGGAACGGAGGGAGUACUAGUAAACUAUACACGAUUGAUCAGUUCGCUUGAUUGAUACGAUGCCUUAUUCUGGUGGAAGAUGAUUCAUUUUCAUAAAUUUUUCUCAAAAACAAAAAUUGAUUUGUAAACUUCUUUUGGGAAACGUUUAUAGCCGGUCGACCGGCCGAGCGUUCGGCUGGUCCCCUCGCUCGCGUCGCUGGGCAGCCCAGCCCACCAACCACAGAACUUAUCUCUAACCCCACCACUUCCAUCUUAUCCCCUCGCUUUUUCUGGAGACCACACGAGGCAUCCUCGUCCUGCUCGCCCUUCAGUCCCCAAGUUCUCAAUCUCUCCUCCUCCUUCCUGUGUUUUCUCCAAAAUCCACAUCUAAUCCCCAUGAAAUUGAGCUCGUUUUUGUUGCCUUCUCUGCUCCGCGCAACAUUUUUCCUCCAUAGAUCCAUGAGAGGGCGUGCAAAGGGCAGGACGACCGUGAUGCAAGCUCGUGCACCCGCUGCGUUACCAUGGUGUGCGACGGCGGAGACCGGUGCCGGCUGGGGCAGCGAUGCAGGAAACGGCACACCUCGUUGCUGGAACCGGCCGACUGGAAAGCUGCAACCGGCAUCCGUUGAUGCUGGAACCAGUAAUCAUUUUUGCUACCACAGGCGUUUGGUUUUGCUUGAACCACCGCCAAAUUUGUAAGUUUGCUACUACUGAUUUUCUGGUUUGCUGGAACAAGCUUGAAUUUUUGCUGGAACCAUAUUCUUUUUUUGCUGGAACCGACCCAUGUUUUUGCUACCACCCACUCACCUCAAAUCUUCUACCAUGGUGAUUUUUUGCUGGAACCAGCGAACCACUUUGCUACAACCGUUUUGGGUUUUGUUACUAUUGUUUGUUUUGUGAUUUUUUGCUACAUCCAUCUCCAUGACAUAGCCUGUUUUUUCCAGUCAAUUUUGCUACAACCAUGCUUUGAUUUUGCUGGAAACAAAGACAAUUUUUGCUAGAAUCAUUUUUUGAUUUUGCUGGAACCGAAGAUAAUUUUUGUUACAUCCACCAGGCGGCGAUGGCUUUCUUUUUGCUGCAACCGUCUCGGAUUUUUUGCUACUACAGGAGUUGCCAUUUUGCUACUACCAGAGCCUUGCUCGAAGCAUCAGGAGUUUUUGCUACCACCCCUUUUAUUUUUGUUUCGAUUUUUGCUGGAACCAACCUAAAAAUUGCUCCAACCGUCGUUCGAUUUUGCUGGAACCGGCAUUUUUUGCUUCGUCGGUGGCGGUGAAGGCGGGUGGCGUUUUGCUUCGCCAGCGGCGGCUAGGCUGCGACCUGCGAGCACCGGCGGCGAGCAGAAGCAACGAGGGUCCAAAGGAGGGCGGCGGGGCUAGCGUGCGGGAUCCCGCGAGCGGCGGUGGCGCUCGCUCCCCCCCCCCCCCCCCCCUUUUUUUCCCUGUGCGGAGGAUGACGAAAGGGGAUGCGGGACAGAUCUGACGGUCCCGCGCGUCCAGAUCGAGUGGCUCGGGUUGGACCGGCCGAAACUUUGCGCCGGUGCGCCGGCGCAGAGUACUGCCCAUUUUUUUUUUUUGAGUCUAAAAAAUGAUUCGUAAUGGUAACGGCCUGAAACGUGAUUUGUGUAAUACUUUGGGCCGGUGAGCAGCCGAUGCCGCUUGGGCCUUUUAUGCAGGAACCUUGGUUGCUUUUAUUAACCGGGCCUGCCUGUUUGAGACACGAGAGACCUUCCUUCCCUCAAAAAAAAAAAGGACACGAGAGACCUUCCUUCCUCCUUUGUUCCUCUUACCAACCACCGGCAAUCGCUCAAAAAAAAAAAAAAAUAAACCAACGACCCGCUGUGCUAGGGUUCCUGAUCCCGCCGACGACUUCUCCACGCCGCCCCACAUCCCUCCACCAGAAUCAGGCGCUCUAAUACUAGGUACUCGAUGCCUCGAGUCGGAGACCUAGAAGCAUCCUCGUUCUUAAGGCCCUUGGCGGAGUUCGGUUACCUUUCCUCCAUCAUUCUGGAACGAUGGAUUAAUUUGAAGAACGUGUCUAUCGAACGGCCUUUCUUAAUAUACAACACUGUAUGGUUGGUUCUUGACAAAAUAGACUCGCCCUAUGCACGGCCCUGAACAAUUUUUUAAUAUUCCAUCCUUUUAGGUUUACAAGGCACCUCAACCCAAUGGGUGCCUUGUUUACUGAGUGGAGGGAUUCUGUGAAAAGAAACAACCCUCGGAAUUGUAGUUUUGUGAAAAAUUAUAUCAAUGAGAGUGAGUGGUUACAUGUUUAAAAGUGUGUUUCUAUGAAAUUGAUUUCCUUGGGAAGGUUUCCUAUUACUCUUGCAGAAACCCUAGAGAUCCGAGGAAGAAAAAUCGAUGAAUUGAUUUCUGGUAGAUACUUCUUUGGUAUACAAGAAACCUUUGAUAUCAUGAUGAAGUAUAUUCUUGGCAUGGCAAGUAUGCAACCCUUUUGUAAGCUGCUCUGUAUAAAUUAAAAGAGAAGAAUGUUUGAGAAAUAUGAAUAGACCUUUUUAAUCCAGAUAAUUUUGUACCGAGCAAACUAAGUGAUGGUUUGCAUCGGUAUNCCCCCCCCCCCCCCCCCCCUGUGGUCUGUUCUGUUGGGUAUGGGGUAUGCUAUGCUUUCAGGUGCUAAUUCUGUUUUAGAUGGACCCUGUGUUUCGUAUUACUUCAAUUGUCAGUUAUAUUGCUCCUGUUUUGCACAAUGGCAGUUGGCACCACUGCUUUAACUGUCACAAUUCCUGUUUUGCGCCUUGCCGAUCGGCUCUUUCUUUUCCAAUGUGUAUGCUUGAGCCCCUGUGCAACACCACGUGUACUCUCUGUUUUCUUGUUGCGUGUACACCCAUCUUUAGUUUUUGAUUCAGGCGAUAUCAGUCUAUAAAGUUUACUGGCGUGUGUAUGGCAGGAUGCAUGGCUAGUCUUAAGUUUGAGCAUUUGUUUGGUUUUGUACAGAGAUGCCAAUUGGUUUAGCUUCUUUUAGCCUGUGCUUAAUUUUUCCUAACUGUCAAUAUCCUGUCAGAGGGAUUUCUAUGGUCGGGGGUUGCACAAUACGAGAACCAAGCUUUUCUGGCUCUUUUGCUUUGGAUAGGCAUCACCUUUUUUUGCAGUUUAUAUAUAGUUCUGUACAAUACUUUGCUGCUGUACGAUAAUAAAAUCUGUUGAAUUUCAUGAAUCACAUCAAGAAUCAUGGUCUCAUAAAAGGUUAUUUUUGUGUCUCGGCUAUCAUUGCUAAACCAAAGUUUAAGCUCCUUUUGUGCUUUUGCUUCUUACCAAACACAGUUUGUCAUCAUUCCUUUUGAAGUAAAAUUUGCGGCAACAUCUGAACCAAGCAAGGCGAUGUACCCGGUAAAAUCUGGAUUUGGGUGAAACCCUGAAAAACCUCGCGUGCCAUUAGAUCUACAACAAACGGCAUCUGCUCAAAGAUGAAUAAUUUAGCCAGAUUAUUUGGGGAUCAACUUGCCCCCUCCCGCUCCUACUUCCUGUACCGCAGAGAAAGCCUGAGGCUUGCCGGCCACAGCCGGCGGGGCUCUAAAUGCUCAGGCCAGCGACACCGGCCACGGAAGUGAGGUAGAGCGGCACUGGUGCCCGUGAGGCCGUGACCUGCAGGGAGCGUCGAGCACAGCGCGGUAGUUAAUUUCGCGUAGGCAAUCUCCCAUUCAGUUUGUCUUGUACAUAUUUUUCUCUCUGAUUUUGUAGCUCCUCCUUAGUGAACUUCUAGCUGAAUGCUGAUGUAAAUUGUCUAUGUAUGAUGCUAUGAACAUUAUCACUCAAGAUUCAACGUAAAUUUUUGCUUCUGUUUAUUUCA
This is a long non-coding RNA of Aegilops tauschii subsp. strangulata, 4498 nucleotides long. RefSeq lists it as uncharacterized. The record is from RefSeq and is a predicted model, not a curated record. Lineage: Eukaryota; Viridiplantae; Streptophyta; Magnoliopsida; Poales; Poaceae.